AGAAAAAGUAAAAGUAAACGUCCGUUGCAUAAAACCAUUCAGUUUCCUUUCUCCCUUCCGUGCUCGUUUGCCCUAAUUCAUUCUCUCACCCGAUUUUAAGUCUCAUAAACUUGGAUUUUGGUUAUUUUUCGGCACAACUCAUCAAAUUUAAGAUCCUAACUUAUGGGCGGCAUGGAAAGAAGCUUUGAAAAGUCCUAAAUUUGAGGCAGCAAGUUCUAGAAACUCUGCAAAUCAAGGCAGAGGAAAAGACAAAGCUGAGUCAACUCACAUUGGAGGUUCUAUAUCACAUGCGUGAACCAUGCGAAAGUUGAUAGAUCGAUCGAUGAUGAAACCGGACUGCUGAAUGGACUAACGACAAGGCUAAAAGAAUUCAUGUAAUUAAUGAAAAUAUUUAAUAUUGUAAUAUUAUAACAUUAGUUAUUUAUUUAAAACACAUUUUAAUAUAUCUUUUUUUAUUUGAAAGAAGAGCAUCUUCGCAUUCAUUUUGAGAAUGCAGAACGUGAUGUCAGCCAAAUUUAUUUUGAGGCAAUAAAGAAUGUGGAUGCGACGUCUGAGAAAAAAAACAAGGAAAAGAAAAGAGGUUUUGGAGUGGGGUCCACCUCACAAAUAUAUUAUCCUAGCGGCGGCAGUAUAAUUUCAUCACAGUAUUCUAACGCACAACCUGAAUAUGGUUCUAUUCUUGAUUCAAAAAUGACAGAGUUUGAGGCUAGGCAAAAACAAGCCUUUGAUCAAUUGUGCGAAGACUUCGCUAAGGUUUCAACAAUGUAGGGAUUGAAAAUCAUCAAAGGACACUUGAUACAAUUAAUAUGGAAAGAAAUCAAAUGCUUCAAUUUAUACAUCAUCAUUAUCAGCCGCGCCAAGUUCGCCAUCCUUAGUUUAAUUUAUUGUAAUGUUAUUGUAUAAUUAGUUUAGUUGUAA
Molecule: long non-coding RNA, 918 nt
Organism: Amaranthus tricolor (Joseph's coat)
Lineage: Eukaryota; Viridiplantae; Streptophyta; Magnoliopsida; Caryophyllales; Amaranthaceae
Exons: 3
Source: RefSeq, a predicted model, not a curated record